RNAcentral lists this ribosomal RNA (301 nucleotides) under uncultured bacterium. Its description in RNAcentral is "partial 16S ribosomal RNA". It matches the Rfam family "Bacterial small subunit ribosomal RNA", at positions 509 to 807 of the family's 1533-position model. The record is from RNAcentral.
CAGCCGCCACGGUAAUACGUAGGGUGCAAGCGUUAAUCGGAAUUACUGGGCGUAAAGCGUGCGCAGGCGGUUAUAUAAGACAGAUGUGAAAUCCCCGGGCUCAACCUGGGAACUGCAUUUGUGACUGUAUAGCUAGAGUACGGCAGAGGGGGAUGGAAUUCCGCGUGUAGCAGUGAAAUGCGUAGAUAUGCGGAGGAACACCGAUGGCGAAGGCAAUCCCCUGGGCCUGUACUGACGCUCAUGCACGAAAGCGUGGGGAGCAAACAGGAUUAGAUACCCGAGUAGUCCCUGUCUCUUAUAC